CUUUCGGGGGUGCACCACAGGUGUUGCAUGGCAGUUGUCAGCUCGUGUUUUGAGAUGUUGGGUUAAGUCCCGCAACGAGCGCAACCCCCUAGCGUGUUGCCAUCAUUUAGGUGGGGACUCUCGCGAGAGAGCCCGGGACAAACCGGGGGGAGGGGGGGGUGAAGGCCAAUUCUCCAUGACCCUAACUCCACGGGCUACACACUUGCUACAAUGGCGGGUACAAAGUCCCAAACCUAGCGAGUCAAGCCAAUCCCUAAAAGCCGGUCUCAGUUCAGAUAGCAGUCUGCAACUCGACUCCA
This 299-nucleotide ribosomal RNA is filed under the name uncultured soil bacterium. RNAcentral describes it as "partial 16S ribosomal RNA". It matches the Rfam family "Bacterial small subunit ribosomal RNA", at positions 1018 to 1320 of the family's 1533-position model. The record is from RNAcentral.